Acanthosepion pharaonis is the source of this 99-nucleotide non-coding RNA. NCBI's taxonomy places the organism in Eukaryota, Metazoa, Mollusca, Cephalopoda, Sepiida, Sepiidae. The record is from the annotation of a GenBank genome assembly.
GGCCAUAUCCCAUUGAAAUAUUGGUUUCCAUACAAUCACUGAAGAUAAGCAAUGUCGUGCCUGGUCAGUACUUAGAUGGGUGACCACUUAGGAAUACUU